Molecule: long non-coding RNA, 215 nt
Filed under: Mytilus galloprovincialis (Mediterranean mussel)
Lineage: Eukaryota; Metazoa; Mollusca; Bivalvia; Mytilida; Mytilidae
Source: RNAcentral
UAUAUAUAGAUAAAAUAUACCUAGAGACUUGAUGAAAUUGACAUUUGUGUUGUUAGUUAAAUGAUUGACAGAAAAGAGACAUCAACUGUGGAUUUGAAAUUGACAAUUUGUUUAGGAACAUUGAAUUAAAUAGAACAAUAGGAUAACCGAUAUUUGUGAAUCGUUUGUAACAAAAUAACCCGGUUAUACAAAUUGUUGAAUAAUUUAAGGAAUUC